GUCCGUUAGCUCAAGAGGUGAGAGCAGUGGCCUUAUAAGCCAAAGGUUUUGAGUUCGAGUCUCAAACGGACUA
This 73-nucleotide transfer RNA is filed under the name Bacteroidota bacterium. RNAcentral's name for it is "tRNA-Ile". It matches the Rfam family "tRNA". From Rfam's summary of the family: Transfer RNA (tRNA) molecules are approximately 80 nucleotides in length. The record is from RNAcentral. Lineage: Bacteria; Pseudomonadati; Bacteroidota.